UAGGGAAUCUUCCACAAUGGACGAAAGUCUGAUGGAGCAACGCCGCGUGAGUGAAGAAGGUUUUCGGAUCGUAAAGCUCUGUUGUUGGUGAAGAAGGAUAGAGGCAGUAACUGGUCUUUAUUAGACGGUAAUCAACCAGAAAGUCACGGCUAACUACGUGCCAC
RNAcentral lists this ribosomal RNA (164 nucleotides) under uncultured bacterium. Its description in RNAcentral is "partial 16S rRNA". It matches the Rfam family "Bacterial small subunit ribosomal RNA", at positions 355 to 511 of the family's 1533-position model. The record is from RNAcentral.